ACGCUCGACACCUACGGGAGGCAGCAGUGGGGAAUAUUGCACAAUGGGGGAAACCCUGAUGCAGCGACGCCGCGUGGAGGAAGAAGGUCUUCGGAUUGUAAACUCCUGUUGUUGGGGAAAAAGAGGAUGGUACCCAACAAGGAAGUGACGGCUAACUACGUGCAGCAGCCGGGUAAUCUGAGCGGGCUGGCAAGGC
This 196-nucleotide ribosomal RNA is filed under the name uncultured bacterium. RNAcentral's name for it is "partial 16S ribosomal RNA". It matches the Rfam family "Bacterial small subunit ribosomal RNA", at positions 328 to 539 of the family's 1533-position model. The record is from RNAcentral.